RNAcentral lists this long non-coding RNA (1002 nucleotides) under Marmota monax (woodchuck). The record is from RNAcentral. Lineage: Eukaryota; Metazoa; Chordata; Mammalia; Rodentia; Sciuridae.
AAAUCUUUUAUCUUUUGUUGAAUAUGCAUGCAUCCCUUUUCUUUAGAGGGAACUCCAUUUCAUACCAUGUGCAUGUCAAGGCUAUUAUGAUGACUCCCUCCUAAAACUGUUGCACAAUGGUCAGUGCAGUAAUUUAAUAUCUGCUAUACUGACAACAGUAGGUGGAAGAACCUUAUUGAGGCAGAAACAAAAUUCUUAGUAACAUUUAUGAUACCAUAUUGAUCAUCAUGGUUAGAAAGUCAGUCUGUAGUUGUUACCAUUUCAUCAACUUCAUUGGUUUAGUAGUCCUUGCCCAAUUAUUUUGCCUCGUUAGACAUGAAAAAAUGAAGGGAGGCUAGAAGUUAAAACUUAAGUACUCUUCCUGUUUCUUUGUUGUUACUUGUGCUAUUAAGUUUUCUUCUCCUUGUGGCUCCAUUCUUUUUUCUUUUAUUGUUUCAGCUUAUAACUCUCUUUUCCCUGCCACUUUAGGGUUAUCUUACAGUCAUCUCAUUUAUUUUGUCAAGCGCUGGUGGUUGGUGCACCCAUUGUACAGUAGCAUUCUUACCUUUGCUUGCCUAGGGCAUCCAGUCUGCCUUUCACAUAGUAACAAUGGCACUUUUUACAACUUAUAAAUUUGUAGAGUAACCAAUCUCAGAUUGGCAGCUAGAGUCAAAAUGUUGCCAAAUAUUUAUUCCCUUUAUCUAAUAUUGCUUUAUUCAAUUGCUUGUCCUAUUUUUAUUAUCUUAGAGUUCUUUCCUCAAAAGAGCAAUCAGAACAUUUCCUCUUUCUUCAGAAUCCUUAAUCUCAACUGUCCAUACCUGCACUGUACAAUUUUCUUCCUGUGCUGUCUUAUAUUCAAGUAGAAUGUAUGCCAAGAGUCCCUUGCCUCUAUCAAUUUCUGCUAAAAUGUCCAAGUAGAUUUUUUCCUUCUACAAUUAAAUUAUUGUAUUUAUUAAUUUGAUAGAGUCCAAUAAAUUCUUUCAAUAGCUCUGGCUAUACUGUCAAUAAAAAAAAUGAAAGCAA